Molecule: ribosomal RNA, 321 nt
Filed under: Triticum aestivum (bread wheat)
Lineage: Eukaryota; Viridiplantae; Streptophyta; Magnoliopsida; Poales; Poaceae
Description: partial small subunit ribosomal RNA
Source: RNAcentral
AUGGCAGCGUUGGUGAUAAGGGUCAUCUUCCCAAGCGACCCAAGACGCUCGCCGCUGUUGCCGCCGACAGAUCACAAGGCCGAAGGAGGUGGUUCGUCCGAUCGAUGCGAGGGGGCAAUUUUCAUCCUGACCAUGGCGGCACCGUCCGGCCACUCGAGCCGCAGAUUGCAGUGGCCAUUCAAGGGUCUUCAUGAGAGUUUUUUCUUAGGAUCCAUUGGUUAUUGCCAGCAGCUCGCACUGGCGAGGUUGUGUGAUGUAACCGGAAGGCUCCAUUGGGAGUUUCGGUGGCUCUCAAUCCGGCCAGUUUGCAUUCAGCGGUGA